GACGAACGCUGGCGGCGUGCUUAACACAUGCAAGUCGAGCGGUAAGGCCCUUUCGGGGGUACACGAGCGGCGAACGGGUGAGUAACACGUGGGUGACCUGCCCUCAGCUCUGGGAUAAGCCUGGGAAACCGGGUCUAAUACUGGAUAUGACUCCAUGACGCAUGUUGUGGGGUGGAAAGCCUUGUGCGGCUGAGGAUGGGCCCGCGGCCUAUCAGCUUGUUGGUGGGGUGANGGCCUACCAAGGCGACGACGGGUANCCGGCCUGAGAGGGCGACCGGCCACACU
Molecule: ribosomal RNA, 285 nt
Filed under: uncultured bacterium
Lineage: Bacteria
Description: partial 16S ribosomal RNA
Rfam family: Bacterial small subunit ribosomal RNA
Source: RNAcentral